UUAGAAACUAUUACUGGUUGAAUCUUAUUGAAUUGAAUAUUACUGGUUGAAUCUUACCUAUGUGUAUCUGUCUUAUCUAACAAUUGCAUGUGCUGUGAUCACCUGGAGUGCUUCAUUUGGCUUCUCUCGGUGUUGUCAAUACUUGCUAUGCUGAAGGUUGAAUGGGAGUUCAGUUCCAAAGGGCUGAUGCUGUUCCUGCAGGAGGGUACUUUCAAGUUGUGAUUUGGUACGUGCUUGUUCCUAUACCACUGUUAGGAUGAUGAUCUGCAGAGAUUGGUGUUCCCCUCGAGAAGCCGGUCAUUUUACUCUGCCCUGCAUUGGAGUGGUCAGCUGAAAGAGAUGUAUAUGGGCUGCGUGUGCCGUGCGGAAAGCUUGUAAGGCAAUGGAUCCUGGCACAGCUCAGCCAGGUGCCUCACAGCAGCAUCAGGAGGGAAGAGAUAAAGAGUGCCAUACCGACCAGAAGGUGGGGUGGAAAUCAUCACCUUGCCAUCUCUGAACACCUCGCUGUGAGGCAGCCUUGCCUGGCCUAUGAGCUCUAGGGUUGCAGUCCUCCUGUGAACGUCCUCCGAGGGGACUAGGGACCAGGAAGCCCAACAAAACUGGGAAAGAGACAACUUGGCCACUGGGGUGCUUUGUCAGCUUUUUCUACCCUGUGCCAGGUCCC
Molecule: long non-coding RNA, 664 nt
Filed under: Anser brachyrhynchus (Pink-footed goose)
Lineage: Eukaryota; Metazoa; Chordata; Aves; Anseriformes; Anatidae
Description: lncRNA (ENSABRG00000019846.1)
Source: RNAcentral